UACGGAGGGUGCGAGCGUUGUCCGGAAUCACUGGGCGUAAAGGGCGCGUAGGCGGCGCGGGGAGUCAACGGUGAAAGCUCGGCGCUCAACGCCGAGUCGGCCGUCGAUACUCCCGUGCUCGAGCACUGUAGAGGCAGGUGGAAUUCCGGGUGUAGCGGUGGAAUGCGUAGAUAUCAGGAGGAACACCUGUGGCGAAAGCGGCUCACUGGACCAUAACUGACGCUGAUGCACGAAAGCUAGGGGAGCAAACAGG
Molecule: ribosomal RNA, 253 nt
Filed under: uncultured bacterium
Lineage: Bacteria
Description: partial 16S ribosomal RNA
Rfam family: Bacterial small subunit ribosomal RNA
Source: RNAcentral